Molecule: non-coding RNA, 220 nt
Filed under: unclassified sequences
Description: IS605-orfB-I RNA
Rfam family: IS605-orfB-I RNA
Source: Rfam by way of RNAcentral
GUCAUAUAAAGAUGUAUUAGAUGCAAGACAAUCUAGCAUUUCCCUUUAUGGCAUUGUAUUAAAUUUAGAAGUUCAAACAAAAGUAAUUGUUGUGUGGUUAAUAAUCGAAACAGUUUGAGUUUGGAUGGAAGAGGUUAACUGUAUGACCUUGUGUUGAGAAACACUAGAAACAAUCUUAAAUAACAAUUUCUUAAUUUUCAUUAUUUUGAGUUACAGUAUC